AUUUUGAAAGUAUAGCAUAAAUAAUGAGAUUUCUAUGUAAUAAGUUUCCCCAGGGUAAUUAAAAAUUGGCCUUAGAGCUUAACUUUUAUAACUAUUUGUUGUCCCAUGAUACUUUUCUAUUUUAAUUUUUUGAGUAGGUAGUACCUUUCAUGUGUUCCAGAUACAUAAAAAGUUUAAAACUGUGUAUAGCAAGUCUCCACCCAGUUCUCCACCCCCCAUCUUCCCCCGCCCCCCACGAACUUUUAGAGUUUCUCUAUACACAUACAGGCAACCACUAAUUUUUAAUACCCCUGCCACAGAAACUAGCAUACUGGUUUGCAGUCUCCUGCACCUUGCGUUUACACUUUACAUCUUUUAUAGUUUUGACAGAGUUCUAAUAUCUUUUCAUUUUGUAUGAAGGAAAAAUGCCUUUUAUUUCAUUUUCUCAGGAAUAAAACCACCUAGCCAGCACAAUCCCUAGUGGAACAUUUACAGGCCCCUCCCAACAAAUCCAGAACUGCAGUGACACAGUGAUGAAUAAGAUGUGUUUCUGCCAUUUAGGCGUCCUGAGUCGAGUUAAAGAACAGAUAAUAGACUUGUUCAGUUUCACCGAGUGAUGUAAUAGGUCAAAGCACCCCGAAUUUUGCUUUCACACAUGAAUUAAUGCUAUGGAAGGAUUCGCCUACAUAGAUACAGUUGCAAGUCUUGAAUAAACUAGAAGAAAAGCACAUGAAUCUCAUUUAUUUUUUUUUUAAUGUUUUGAUUUUUGAGACAGAAACAGCAUGAGCGGGGGACGGGCAGAGAGAGAGGGAGACGGAAUCCGAGGCAGGCCCCAGGCUGCGAGCUGUCAGCACAGAGGCGGAGGCGGGGCUCAAACUCAGACUGUGAGAUCAUGACCUGAGCUGAAGUCGGACGCUCCACCGACUGAGCCACCCAGGCGCCCUGGCUCCCAUUUAUUUUAAGAAAUUCCAAGGAACAUGAAACGUGCCAACAGGAAGACAGCAAAAGUGCUGACCUUCCCCCAGAUUCUUCUUCAAUCAGAAACUGACCAUCACACCCCUAGCACACUGUGGGCCCUGGUGUGAGGACAGGCAUACUGGUGAAGGAGACAGACAGAAUCAGGCCGGACAAUAUCCGGGUGUCGCGGAAAUAAAACAGGAUGAUGUGAUAAGGAGUGUU
This is a long non-coding RNA of Neofelis nebulosa (Clouded leopard), 1158 nucleotides long. RefSeq lists it as uncharacterized. The transcript is spliced from 3 exons. The record is from RefSeq and is a predicted model, not a curated record. Lineage: Eukaryota; Metazoa; Chordata; Mammalia; Carnivora; Felidae.